GGGGCUGUAGCUCAGUGGUAGAGUGCUUGCCUCGCAUGCAUGAGGCACUGGGUUUGAUCCUCAGCACCACA
This 71-nucleotide transfer RNA is filed under the name Marmota monax (woodchuck). RNAcentral's name for it is "tRNA.Ala". It matches the Rfam family "tRNA". From Rfam's summary of the family: Transfer RNA (tRNA) molecules are approximately 80 nucleotides in length. Their secondary structure includes four short double-helical elements and three loops (D, anti-codon, and T loops). Lineage: Eukaryota; Metazoa; Chordata; Mammalia; Rodentia; Sciuridae. The record is from RNAcentral.